AUGUCAUCAGCAGAUUCUAAAAAAAAUGUCAUUAGCUGGAAGUUCUGGUGGGGCAGUAAGGAUGGACAUCGUAAGCCUAAUUGUGUUUCGUGGGAAGCUAUGACACAAACAAAAAGUAAUGGUGGUUUGGGCUUUAAGGACUUCAAACUUUUUAACUUGGCCCUUCUAGCCAAGCAGACAUGGAGAAUCUGUAACAGGCAUUCAUCACCUUUUGCAAGAAUUCUGAAAAGUGUAAACUUUCCUACACAAACUAUUUUGACGGAGGUUUUAGGCAACCACUCAAGUUAGAUUUGGAGGUCGAUCAUCGAGGGUCGAGACAUUUCGAAGCAAGGCUUGAUCCGACACAUUGGGAACAGGAAUACUACCAACAUAUGGUCAGACAAUUGGAUCCCUCGAGGAGAGAUGACGCGGCCUUAUGGAAGCAGGUCGCCCAAUCCGCCAGAUUUCGUGUCAGCAUUGAAAUAA
RNAcentral lists this ribosomal RNA (465 nucleotides) under Triticum aestivum (bread wheat). RNAcentral's name for it is "partial small subunit ribosomal RNA". The record is from RNAcentral. Lineage: Eukaryota; Viridiplantae; Streptophyta; Magnoliopsida; Poales; Poaceae.